Molecule: small nuclear RNA, 108 nt
Filed under: Carlito syrichta (Philippine tarsier)
Lineage: Eukaryota; Metazoa; Chordata; Mammalia; Primates; Tarsiidae
Source: RNAcentral
GUGCUUGCUUUGGCAUCACAUAUACUAAAAUUGGAAUGAUAUGCAGACAAUUCGCAUGGCCCCUGCUCAAAGAUGACAAAAAAAUUUGUUGAAGCCUUCCAUAUUUUU